GAAGGCCCUUCGGGGUGCUCGAGUGGCGAACGGGUGAGUAACACGUGGGUGAUCUGCCCUGCACUUUGGGAUAAGCCUGGGAAACUGGGUCUAAUACCGAAUAGGACUCCGGACUGCAUGGUCUGGGGUGGAAAGCUUUUGCGGUGUGGGAUGGGCCCGCGGCCUAUCAGCUUGUUGGUGGGGUGAUGGCCUACCAAGGCGACGACGGGUAGCCGGCCUGAGAGGGUGACCGGCCACACUGGGACUGAGAUACGGCCCAGACUCCUACGGGAGGCAGCAGUGGGGAAUAUUGCACAAUGGGCGCAAGCCUGAUGCAGCGACGCCGCGUGAGGGAUGACGGCCUUCGGGUUGUAAACCUCUUUCAGCACAGACGAAGCGCGAGUGACGGUAUGUGCAGAAGAAGGACCGGCCAACUACGUGCCAGCAGCCGCGGUAAUACGUAGGGUCCGAGCGUUGUCCGGAAUUACUGGGCGUAAAGAGCUCGUAGGUGGUUUGUCGCGUUGUUCGUGAAAACUCACAGCUUAACUGUGGGCGUGCGGGCGAUACGGGCAGACUGGAGUACUGCAGGGGAGACUGGAAUUCCUGGUGUAGCGGUGGAAUGCGCAGAUAUCAGGAGGAACACCGGUGGCGAANGCGGGUCUCUGGGCAGUAACUGACGCUGAGGAGCGAAAGCGUGGGGGAGCGAACAGGAUUAGAUACCCUGGUAGUCCACGCCGUAAACGGUGGGGUACUAGGUGUGGGUUUCCUUCCUUGGGAUCCGUGCCGUAGCUAACGCAUUAAGUACCCCGCCUGGGGAGUACGGCCGCAAGGCUAAAACUCAAAGGAAUUGACGGGGGCCCGCACAAGCGGCGGAGCAUGUGGAUUAAUUCGAUGCAACGCGAAGAACCUUACCUGGGUUUGACAUGCACAGGACGCCGGCAGAGAUGUCGGUUCCCUUGUGGCCUGUGUGCAGGUGGUGCAUGGCUGUCGUCAGCUCGUGUCGUGAGAUGUUGGGUUAAGUCCCGCAACGAGCGCAACCCUUGUCUCAUGUUGCCAGCACGUUAUGGUGGGGACUCGUGAGAGACUGCCGGGGUCAACUCGGAGGAAGGUGGGGAUGANGUCAAGUCAUCAUGCCCCUUAUGUCCAGGGCUUCACACAUGCUACAAUGGCCGGUACAAAGGGUUGCGAUGCCGUGAGGUGGAGCGAAUCCUUUCAAAGCCGGUCUCAGUUCGGAUCGGGGUCUGCAACUCGACCCCGUGAAGUCGGAGUCGCUAGUAAUCGCAGAUCAGCANCGCNGCGGUGAAUACGUUCCCGGGCCUAGUACACACCGCCCGUCACGUCAUGAAAGUCGGUNACNCCCGAAGCCGGGGCCUAACCC
RNAcentral lists this ribosomal RNA (1357 nucleotides) under Mycobacterium sp. DWMJ-352A2. RNAcentral's name for it is "bacterial SSU rRNA". It matches the Rfam family "Bacterial small subunit ribosomal RNA", at positions 69 to 1440 of the family's 1533-position model. Lineage: Bacteria; Bacillati; Actinomycetota; Actinomycetes; Mycobacteriales; Mycobacteriaceae. The record is from RNAcentral.